AGACCAGUGACGCAGUGGUUAGCGUUCCGUUCUUAUAUGACUCUCAGAAGCGCCCAGAGCAACUUUGUUUUGGUGUGGCCUGAACUCAUAUGAAUUAUUCCUCAGUGAUGCGGGGGUCGUGGGUUCGAAUCCCACUUGGUCUA
This is a transfer RNA of 143 nucleotides. It matches the Rfam family "tRNA". From Rfam's summary of the family: Transfer RNA (tRNA) molecules are approximately 80 nucleotides in length. Their secondary structure includes four short double-helical elements and three loops (D, anti-codon, and T loops). The record is from Rfam.